Molecule: small nuclear RNA, 186 nt
Organism: Loxodonta africana (African savanna elephant)
Lineage: Eukaryota; Metazoa; Chordata; Mammalia; Proboscidea; Elephantidae
Gene: U2
Rfam family: U2 spliceosomal RNA
About the family: U2 is a small nuclear RNA (snRNA) component of the spliceosome (involved in pre-mRNA splicing). Complementary binding between U2 snRNA (in an area lying towards the 5' end but 3' to hairpin I) and the branchpoint sequence (BPS) of the intron results the bulging out of an unpaired adenosine, on the BPS, which initiates a nucleophilic attack at the intronic 5' splice site, thus starting the first of two transesterification reactions that mediate splicing.
Source: Ensembl
AUCGCUUCUCAGCCUUUUAGCUAAGAUCAAGUGUACUAUCUGUUCAUAUCAGUUUAAUAUCUAAUGCAUCCUCUAUCUGAGGACAUUUAAAAGGAAACCACCACUCAUUUGUCAGUUUGUCAUACUAUGGUGGCUUGCCUGUUGCUGUGAUGCUGGAAAAUAUGUCACCAGUAUUUCAAAUACCAG